ACCAGUUGUUUCAUUUAGGCGCAAUAAAUUCUCUCUACAAGGACCAGACCCCAUUGCUGCACCAAUUUGCACGGAACCAAGUGGGAAGAGAGGAUAAGAGGGACUAUUACUGAGAGGAUUCUCGAAUUAAAUUCACACCUUUUGGCUCAAGGACCAUCCUAAGCUGCUAUAUAUAUAAUUUUGUUGUGCACGUCUGUGGAUAAUGAAGCUCAAGCCAUCAACUGGUCAUUUCUAAGCAUGAUUUUAUGAGGAGGCACAGCUACACAAGUUAAGGGACCUCCAUAGUAUUAUAAAGAAUUUCCCAAAUAGACAUGCCACAUGGCUAACAACCUAGCCUACAUGAUUUCAAUCCUUGAAAUAUGUAUCUAUUAGUAAAUCAAAAUUGCUACUUCUGCAACAAGUUUUAUCAAUCAAAUGUGAAGCUUCGUAUUGGAGGUAAUAGGAAAUACGGUAGCAAUGAGCCACUACUUCUUUAAGAUAAUAAAUUUCUAGAUCAUGUAUACUUAUAUAUAUAUAUUAGUCAUCAUAAUGAUUUUUACCCGGAA
Vigna unguiculata (cowpea) is the source of this 545-nucleotide long non-coding RNA. RefSeq lists it as uncharacterized. Lineage: Eukaryota; Viridiplantae; Streptophyta; Magnoliopsida; Fabales; Fabaceae. The record is from RefSeq and is a predicted model, not a curated record.